This 73-nucleotide transfer RNA is filed under the name Ardenticatenales bacterium. RNAcentral's name for it is "tRNA-Arg". It matches the Rfam family "tRNA". From Rfam's summary of the family: Transfer RNA (tRNA) molecules are approximately 80 nucleotides in length. Their secondary structure includes four short double-helical elements and three loops (D, anti-codon, and T loops). Lineage: Bacteria; Bacillati; Chloroflexota; Ardenticatenia; Ardenticatenales. The record is from RNAcentral.
GCGCCCGUAGCUCAGCGGAUAGAGCACUGGUCUUCGGAACCAGGUGUCGGAGGUUCAAUUCCUUCCGGGCGUA